AAGUCGUAACAAGGUUUCCGUAGGUGAACCUGCGGAAGGAUCAUUAUCGAGUUUUGAACGGGUUGUAGCUGGCCUUUAACGAGGUAUGUGCACGCCUGGCUCAUCCACUCUCAACCUCUGUGCACUUUAUGUAAGAAACGGUGUAAGCCAGCUAUUUAUUAGUUGGUAACAAGCCUUUCUUAUGUUUACUACAAACGCUUCAGUUAUAGAAUGUUUACUGUGUAUAACACAAUUAUAUACAACUUUCAGCAACGGAUCUCUUGGCUCUC
RNAcentral lists this unclassified non-coding RNA (269 nucleotides) under air metagenome. RNAcentral's name for it is "partial contains small subunit ribosomal RNA, internal transcribed spacer 1, and 5.8S ribosomal RNA". The stretch from base 1 to 46 matches the Rfam family "Eukaryotic small subunit ribosomal RNA", at positions 1786 to 1831 of the family's 1831-position model. The record is from RNAcentral.